RNAcentral lists this long non-coding RNA (1104 nucleotides) under Canis lupus familiaris (dog). RNAcentral describes it as "lncRNA (ENSCAFG00000056494.1)". The record is from RNAcentral. Lineage: Eukaryota; Metazoa; Chordata; Mammalia; Carnivora; Canidae.
GACCUUCGCGGGGCCCGUUCCCGCCGCAGCCUCUGGGCGGGGCUUCUCCCUGCCCCGGCCUCCGCCCUCGGUGUCCGGUCGGCGGAACUGGAGCUGCUCGCGGAGCCGGCCCGCCGCACAGGACAGCGGAAGAAGGAGAUUCCUUGGAAUGAAACCAGUGGGAGAUCAGCAUUUGGAAGAGUCUCAUCAGAGCAGAUGGGCCAGCAACAGCCAGAAAGCUUGUUGCCUUUGGCUGAGAGCACCACCCUGGAUCAGAAUGUCUUAAAUGCCUACUGGAUCACCAAACAUUGAAACUGAUAGAAGUUGUGACUAUGCCAUCCCCCAGUCACCAAGAACCAAGUAUGAUCCUUCCUUUGUCAUACUUACCUUUCCAUUAAUAACAGCCUCAUUUAUGUGAUUGCCUGCAGUUCAUCUUCUCCUCUCCUCUAUCCUCAAUAGACUGGAAAUUUCAAAAGAACAUAGACCAUGUCUAUUUUGGCCCACCGACGUAUCUCCAGCACCAAGCCUGGUACAUAGUAGAUAUUCAAGAAAUAUUUGUGGAAAGAAUGGAUGAAUGAAUAGAUCACCUUGUUUUAUAGAUGAGGAAACAGAGGCACAAAGAGGUAUGGUUCUUAAUGACAAAGCUGAGAUAAGAAGUCAGGUCUCCUAGUUCACAGGCCAGACAGCAUUCUUUUUAUUUUCCUUUGUGUUCUCUCAGUAUUGGAGUUGGAACAUCUUGGGGUCUAGUCUAACCCUUUCAUUUUACGAAUGGGAAACUGAGGCCUAGAAAGGAGAAGAAUUCACCCAAGUUCACAGAUGGCAGCACUGGCAGAGCCAGGCCUAGAACCCAGGUCUCCUGACUCCCAAGCUACUGCUCUUCCUUUGUAAAGGCAUAUUAAAAACAAAGCUGAAUUGGGCUUAUUGCCAAGCCCCUGCAGGAGGUCACAUAGCCAAGCAGCUCUCAGAGUUCCUUGUCUAUUCUUAGCCUGAACUUUUAGUGACUCUGGUCUUCAGCAGCCAUCCUCCCCGCCCCCCCUUCCUUUGCAUUUGAUUUUUUGUGUAUAUGUGCUGCGUGUUUUAAAUAAAGGGUGCUACGUGUAGGAAAUGGGCUUCAGCACAGUCCUG